GCCACUGUAGUUCAAUGGAUAGAAUGCGGCCCUCCGAAGGCUGUGAUGUGGGUUCGAUUCCCGCCAGUGGUACCA
RNAcentral lists this transfer RNA (75 nucleotides) under Sutterella sp. RNAcentral describes it as "tRNA-Arg". It matches the Rfam family "tRNA". From Rfam's summary of the family: Transfer RNA (tRNA) molecules are approximately 80 nucleotides in length. Their secondary structure includes four short double-helical elements and three loops (D, anti-codon, and T loops). Lineage: Bacteria; Pseudomonadati; Pseudomonadota; Betaproteobacteria; Burkholderiales; Sutterellaceae. The record is from RNAcentral. RNAcentral also lists the same sequence under 1 other name.